UUCUCUUAGCCUGUCUAUCAGCUUUUUAAAGGUGUAGUUCUUUCUCCACUCCUAAUAAAUAUUCUCCUCAGGAAUGUGACUGUAUUGUUUGCAGCUCUAUUUCUGGUCCAUCUCUCUUUCUGAGGCACAUGGGCACCUGUGAGCACUGCACAUCCAGGCCCAGACAUCUAUCAAAAUCUUUUCAGAGACUGUCACUGCCUCCAAGGUCUGUUCACUGUUCUGGGGAAUUAGCUUAUACUCACAGCUAGAACUAAUCCUGCCAAAUUCUUCAAGGAAUUCAGAGCUCCACAAGUUUAGCCCUCUAAUCUCUGCACACCAACAUGCUAUGUGCAACCAAAUUGUGUGCACAAUUUUACAGUAUAUUCCAUCUGAUUGCUUCUUCUUGAGUUGCUUUGCUGUCCUCCGCUUUUAUAAGGAUGCUUUGAUCUGUGGUUUUAGUUCAUGAAACCCUGUAUUAAUCUGCACACAUCUCAAAUUCUUCAUUAUGACCCUCAAAGGUAGGUAGUAUUAUUUUUAUUUUACAUACAAGAGAAUUGAAUUGAAGCCCAAAAGAGUUUUAGCUACUUGGUGAAGGACACAUUGAAACAGAAGGCAAAUCUGAGACUUCCACUAAGUCUAUCAGUGUCGUGUGUACAGGCUGAAGCACAUAACCACGUUUACUUUCAUGGGAUCAGAAAUAUUUUCGUUUUAUUUUUCUCAAGUACAUUGAUAAAUGAUUGUCCUAUUGAUGAAUGCCAGGCACUGUAUGAGAAAUUACGGAUUCAGAGUCAAGCAAAGUAAGAUCUCGGUGCUCAGGAUAGUCAUAGUCAAUAACUCUCUUUGAGAACAAAACCAAGAAGUUAAGCUGCUUGAUACCACAAUGUUAUCGCCUUGGAUUUUAUUGUAGGACACGAAACUUCUAAAUAGAAUCUGUAAAUCUCUAAAGCAGGAUAAAAUGAGCAGAAACAAGAACAAGAGAGAAAGGUGUUCUGACAUGAAACUUUGCAGAAAAGUCAAGGCUGAAUAGGAGAUUUGGAACAUUUGUUUGCACCUCUGUUCACCAGUUAUUGAUGUAAAAAGUUUAAUGAGAGCACUGUAAUAUAGCAUUUAAGGCAUGAGUUAUGAAGUCAGACAAAAUUUGAAUCUCAUACUUACUACCUUUUGUUGUUACGCUUUUGUGAAAGUUAUUUGCAGUUUUUGACCUUCAGUCUCUUUAUCCUUACAUGGAGAAAAUAAUUUCUAACUCAGAGGGUGGCUGCAAGGAUCAAAUGAAAAAAAUAUGAGGUAGUAGACUUUCGUAUUUUCCUGCUCAAUAUCCAUUCCCUUUUCCUUGGGUUAGCAGCAAGUUGCUCCACAGGGAAUCACCGUUUCCUUUAUCGUCUCAUUGUAGUUGAUAGGAAGUUU
RNAcentral lists this long non-coding RNA (1383 nucleotides) under Callithrix jacchus (white-tufted-ear marmoset). RNAcentral describes it as "lncRNA (ENSCJAG00000052903.2)". The record is from RNAcentral. Lineage: Eukaryota; Metazoa; Chordata; Mammalia; Primates; Cebidae.